AGCGAACGCUGGCGGCAGGCCUAACACAUGCAAGUCGAACGAAGUCUUCGGACUUAGUGGCGGACGGGUGAGUAACACGUGGGAACGUACCUUUUGGUUCGGAACAACUCAGGGAAACUUGAGCUAAUACCGGAUGAGCCCUUAGGGGGAAAGAUUUAUCGCCGAAAGAGCGGCCCGCGUUAGAUUAGCUAGUUGGUGAGGUAAAGGCUCACCAAGGCUACGAUCUAUAGCUGGUCUGAGAGGAUGAUCAGCCACACUGGGACUGAGACACGGCCCAGACUCCUACGGGAGGCAGCAGUGGGGAAUCUUGCGCAAUGGGCGAAAGCCUGACGCAGCCAUGCCGCGUGAAUGAUGAAGGUCUUAGGAUCGUAAAAUUCUUUUACCAGGGACGAUAAUGACGGUACCUGGAGAAAAAGCCCCGGCUAACUUCGUGCCAGCAGCCGCGGUAA
RNAcentral lists this ribosomal RNA (449 nucleotides) under uncultured bacterium. RNAcentral describes it as "partial 16S ribosomal RNA". It matches the Rfam family "Bacterial small subunit ribosomal RNA", at positions 29 to 523 of the family's 1533-position model. The record is from RNAcentral.